This 483-nucleotide ribosomal RNA is filed under the name uncultured Diversispora. Its description in RNAcentral is "SSU rRNA". It matches the Rfam family "Eukaryotic small subunit ribosomal RNA", at positions 569 to 1052 of the family's 1831-position model. The record is from RNAcentral. Lineage: Eukaryota; Fungi; Glomeromycota; Glomeromycetes; Diversisporales; Diversisporaceae.
AGCAGCCGCGGUAAUUCCAGCUCCAAUAGCGUAUAUUAAAGUUGUUGCAGUUAAAAAGCUCGUAGUUGAACUUCGGGAUUUGCCCAUUGGUCAGGCUUAACUGUCUGCACUGGUGUGACGAGUUCCUACCUUCUGAGGAAUCUCCAUGUCAUUCAGUUGGUGUGGGGGGAAAUCAGGACUGUUACUUUAGAAAAAAUUAGAGUGUUUAAAGCAGGCGUCCGUCUGAAUACAUUAGCAUGGAAUAAUAAAAUAGGACGGUUUGGUUCUAUUUUGUUGGUUUCUAGGAUCACCGUAAUGAUUAAUAGGGAUAGUUGGGGGCAUUAGUAUUCAAUUGUCAGAGGUGAAAUUCUUGGAUUUAUUGAAGACUAACUACUGACGAAAGCAUUUGCCAAGGAUGUUUUCAUUAAUCAAGAACGAAAGUUAGGGGAUCGAAGACGAUCAGAUACCGUCGUAGUCUUAACCAUAAACUAUGCCGACUAGGGA